Anguilla anguilla (European eel) is the source of this 157-nucleotide long non-coding RNA. RefSeq lists it as uncharacterized. NCBI's taxonomy places the organism in Eukaryota, Metazoa, Chordata, Actinopteri, Anguilliformes, Anguillidae. The record is from RefSeq and is a predicted model, not a curated record. The transcript has 2 exons.
UUUUAAGAAAUGUUUAAAAAUAAAACAUGCUUGGAAUUAAAAAAUGUAAAUACCACAACAAAGCUGUGGUGAUUGAUUUAUUAAACUUAGUAUUAGGUGUAAUAAAUGAUGUACAAUUCAGAUUGAACAAUUGUUUGCAAACUGUUUCAGUCAAUGC